Molecule: long non-coding RNA, 2718 nt
Organism: Stegostoma tigrinum
Lineage: Eukaryota; Metazoa; Chordata; Chondrichthyes; Orectolobiformes; Stegostomatidae
Exons: 5
Source: RefSeq, a predicted model, not a curated record
CCUACCGCCGCCACCGAAACGUCGCCGCGAACCGUCACCCCGUCCACCGCCUCCAACCGUCACCACCGCGUCAACCGCGCACCCUUGGCCCCGCCUCUUUGCGUGGAGACGUCGAACCGCAACGAUCGUGACCGCCGCGCGGUCGGGCGGAAAAUUAAACGGAAAACCGUUAUUUUCUUUGCUUGGGUCGCCAUGCACCCGACCGCCGACAUCUUUAUCUCAUAUCGAGUUAAUGGGGAGGAGUCGUUGAUAACUGGAGACUCGCCCUUCAAUUCCCUCAAACAUGGAGAUUUUUGAAGUGUUGCUCUUUAUGUUUAAUUCGUGAUGAGGGCUGCAUUUAUUGCCCAUUCCUAAUUACCCAGAGGGCAGUUCAGAGUCAACCACAUUGCUGUGGGUCUGGAGUCACAUGUAGGCCAGAUUGGAAAAGGAUGGCAGAUCGUUUUACAACAAUUGAUUCAUGGUCAUCAUUAAACACUUAAUUGUGGAUAUUUUAUUGAAUUCAAAUUCCACCAUCUGUCGUGACAGGAUUCAAACCCAGGACCCCAGAAUACUGCCCAAGUCCCUGGAUUAACAGUCCAGCGAUGAUACACUAGGCCGUCACCUCUUUUACAACCUCCAUCCUAACAGGGACUGAUGCUCUGUGAUCCCUCCAGUCGCAUACAUGAUCUGCCAACCUGUUGGAACAUUUCAGAAUCUGGGGAAAAUCAGCGACUUUAAACGAAUGCACACCUCCAGACCUUUUACAGCCAUUGGAUGCAAUCCGUCGGUCCCUGGAGACUUCUCGAUCUUCACUUCCACACGAAGACCUUUCUCAGUAACCAGUGAUAAUGGGAACUGCAGAUGCUGGAGAAUUCCAAGAUAAUAAAAUGCAGCGUCAAGUUUGGAAAAUACCGAGUACUUUUUCCACAUGUCCUACAGCUAGAACACAAGCCACAAAUCCAUCCUGGAACACCUUCAUAAAAACUGACUGAGUGCUAUUUAAUGAGAAACUACAGCAGGAGGAAACUGGAGCACGGGGAGAAUGACACUAAGAAGGUCCCAGGACAUCUCCCAGCCUCUACCGAGUUACCUGGUCUCAACUAGAGGGAAGUGUUUGGGAUACAAACAAGACUGCUGUUCUGUGAGCUCUUAACUGGUAUAUGGGUGUGGCUGAGAUUAGAUGUUGACGAGCUGUAUAGAAGUACAGUUACUAAAAAAGGAACACAUGGCAAAAAGCCACAGGAAAAGAACAAAUAAGCAAGCCACAGCUGAAAGCAGUGGAUAAGACACAAUGGCUAUAAACGUUCCGCUUCCAGCACAGGUCAAAAUUAAAUGUGAAAUAAAACUGAACUGAUACAUAGAAUGACAAGGCUAUAAGUUUGUAGCAGAUUUACUUAACAACCCAGAGCACUUGUGUGUGCUAUGCCUUUAUUACUCUUGGAAAGAGACUGUUAUCCACAUUAAACCUGCUUGAAGAAUAGGAAGAAACAGAAUCUUUAAAAAGCCUUGAAGAUUUGACGGUUUAAGUGUUGAGGUUGCACAGAAACCAGCCUGAGCAAUUUUGUCAAGUUCUUCAAAAUAAUUCGAAGCCGUUGAAAACGCCUCCUGAAGUUGGUCACAGUACGACAGGAACAAGCCCCUGGAUGUUUUAAACUAUUGCCAAAGAAAUGUAACCCAUUGGUGCUUUCGAAAGGUUCUUUCUGGUCCUCUUCAGAAAUCUUGACUCUGCAGUACCUCGUUGCCAACUGAUAUCAGGAGCAAGACAGCUAUGUAACCGGUUCUGAAAAUGCUAGGUCCAGGAUGCAUAGCUGCAGCCUUAGUUUGAAAAGGUUGAACUUGGAUGGUAGAUCUAUGGCUUUCCAAUUCAUGAUGAGGGACUUGGUAUCCAUCCUCCUGCUGUUCUUUUCAUUUUAUAUUUAAACUUGUGCUUUCUUCCUGUACUUUCAUCACCAUACCUAAUGUUCUGUUCCAGUUUUGCGGGGCUUAAAACCUGUUUUAGGGUUUGAUUUGUUAGCAGCCCACUUUUCUGAAUUGAGGCACGUUUUCUCUUAGUGCAGUUUGAGGAUGACUCCAAAUGGCAUUUCAAAUUUGAAAUAGUCUUUAGGUAGGAUAGUUUUGAAUUAGCUGUUUGCUUGCACCCAUGUGGUCAACCUGGAAAUACUCGCAGUUUACUUUCUUCUAUUUCCUGCAUUCCGAGAACAGAUGUGUAAGAUCUUCAGAACCCUGGGGCAACCUUGUAAUGAUGUCUUGGAGUUGCACAUGACUGACUAUAAAUGGCACAGUGUACAUGGAGUUACAAUACUGUAGAAGGAGAAAGUUUUGAGAGUUCAUAGUUGUGAACACAUGAAGAAAAUAGGUUAAUCUUUAUCCAUUGCAAUUACAAGUCAGAUCCUGAUAAUUACCAUGCGUAGCAGUGUUGCACACUAAUGUAAAAUAAAUAGUGUUACUUUAAAAUCUAAGCCUAAAGACGGUUCUUGGUUUUACUUUCUCCUCAACCAGUCUGUCCUGAACCCAAACUCAUAAUGUAAGAGUGGGACUGCAGUAGUGAAAAGGAAAGUUGGACUCUCUUAAGUUAUCUUCUCCUUAUCUUAUUCAAAGUUAAUGUGAAUGGCACCAUGUAUGUACAGCGAAGGUACACACCUUUCGCUGUAUUUUCACAUUGAAUACACAGGACAGUAAAUCAUUCAACUCAAUACUUUCACAUCAAGGAAGAUUGCAAUUAUAUUUUGUUUGCUACUG